Molecule: small nuclear RNA, 323 nt
Filed under: Neogale vison (American mink)
Lineage: Eukaryota; Metazoa; Chordata; Mammalia; Carnivora; Mustelidae
Description: Neovison vison (American mink) 7SK RNA (ENSNVIG00000018637.1)
Rfam family: 7SK RNA
About the family: 7SK was discovered as an abundant small nuclear RNA in the mid-70s but a possible function has only recently been suggested. Two independent studies have found that 7SK RNA binds the CDK9/cyclin T complex (known as elongation factor P-TEFb).
Source: Rfam by way of RNAcentral
GGAUGUGAGGGUGAUCUGGCUGCAGCACCUAUCACCACAUUGAUCACCGGGGUUGAUCUGGCUGGUCUGGCUGGCGAGGCAGCUGUCCCCUUCCUCCCUCACCACUCUGUGUGCAUCCCUCCCAUGCUUGGUCAAAGAGAAUAACUUUCCCUAAUAGAGGAGGACCAUUUUUCAGUAAGGGUAUUGGAAAUAGCUGCACUCUCUUGCUAGAACCUCCAAUCAACCUCUCAAAGUCUAUUUGCAGGAGAAUGUAGGAUCGUCAAGCUUCCAAGGCUCCAGAUACAUCCAAAUGAUGCACUGUAUGCGGCAAUCUGCCUUUCUAU